GCCGCUUUCCCCCGCCCCGGCCGCGCGCCUCCUCUUUCACGGCCGGUGCCCGCCACCGUCGCUGUCGCCGCCGCCGCCGCCAUGGGGGGCAAAAACAAGCAGCGAACCAAGGGCAACCUGAGGCCUUCUAGCAGUGGCCGAGCUGCAGAGCUCCUCGCCAAAGAACGUGGAACAGUGCCUGGGUUUAUUGGCUUUGGAACAUCUCAGAGUGAUCUAGGAUACAUUCCUGCAGUUCAAGGAGCAGAGGAAAUAGACAGCCUUGUGGAUGCUGACUUUCGAAUGGUGUUGCGAAAACUUUCUAAAAGGGAUAUCACAACAAAAUUAAAAGCUAUGCAAGAGUUUGGAACAAUGUGCAAGGAAAGAGAAGUGGAAGUAGUUAAAGGUGUUCUUCCUUACUGGCCAAGAAUUUAUUGUAAAAUCUCACUAGAUCAUGAUCGCCGUGUUCGAGAAGCAACUCAGCAAUCUUUUGAGCAACUGAUUCUUAAAGUAAAGAAACACUUAGCUCCUUACUUAAAAAGUAUCAUGGGAUACUGGCUGAUAGCUCAAUGUGACACUUACUCCCCUGCUGCUUCUGCUGCAAAAGUAGCUUUUGAAAAAGCUUUUCCUUCCGGCAAACAACCUGAAGCCUUAGUAUUCUGUAAAGAUGAAAUUCUUAAUGUACUUCAAGAUCACCUUCUGAAAGAAACACCUGAUACGCUCAGUGACCCCCAAACUGUACCAGAGGAAGAAAGGGAAGCCAAAUUUUUCCGGAUUCUGACCUGUUCCUUGUUAGCUUUAAAAAAGUUGCUUAGCAUGUUGCCAAAGAGAGAGAUGCAUUCAUUGGAGGAAAAGUUAAUGCCACUUCUGUCCCAAAACAAAUUUUGGAAAUAUGGCAAACACAAUGUACCACAGGUUCGCUCAGCUUUCUUUGAGCUGGCUUCUGCUUUUUGCCAGUACUUGCCUGAGCUGGUGAAAGCUGAAGCACCAAGAGUUUGCCCUGCUGUUCUUCUCAGCAUUGAUGACAGUGAUGCAGUGGUGUGUCCUGCUCUUUGGGAAGCUGUACUUUAUGCUAUCACCACUAUUGAGGACUGUUGGAGUCAUGUAAAUGCCAAAAAGGGAGUUUUACCAAAGCUAUGGACAGUGCUUCGAGAAGGUGGACGAGGACUAGCUACUGUUAUAUACCCAAAUCUCUUGCCGUUCAUUAGCAAGGUACCUCCUGGCAUUGCAGAACCAAAGCUGGAAUAUUUCAGAACUUUUUUCAGCUCUAUAAUUCAAGGGUUGUCAAGUGAGCGAGCAAUAGCCAGCCCUUCAGAAAGUUCAGCAAUUAUAACUGCAUUUAUGGAAUGUCUGCGCUUUGUCAUACUACAGAAAAUAGGUGAAGAAGAUGACCAAAGACGAAUUCAUCAAAUGCUUAUAUAUGACCAGCUAAUUCCUCUUACUGAUGCUGUACUUAAGGAGCCCAGGUUACAAAAUGGACCGUUAUUUUAUCAAAUAGCAGAAACACUGAGCUGCUGGGAAGCUAAAGCAGAACUCUCCAAUGAUAACAGCACUGAUGAAGUUUUCAAAAAACUGUUGUCAGAUUUUUGGGGCCAUCUUUUAAAAAUGUGUGUACUUCAUGUCGAUACAUUGGAUGCUGAUGAGAAAUCAUUAUUUGCCAUAUCCAGUAUGCUAGAAAUUCUUCAGAAUCCAAAGCGUGCUACAAAACCAAACAGAAAAUCUCUAAAAAUCAGAUUUAGAGAUGAGGAUGAAUCUGAAAGAAACACAGAGAAUGGAAGGCUUACAGAAGUGAGAAAUAUUGACUCUGAAAUGCAGGCUGACUUGUGGCAUAGUUCACUUCUAAGGAAAGAACCUUUGGAGAAUUUAGUCUGCAACCUUGCUGAACUGAGUAUUGUGUAUGUCAAUGAACAGAAGUCAGAACAGCAUUUGAAAUUUCUCUCUGCCCUGCUCAACUAUUUUUCUUCAAACAGAGUUUUUCAGGUACUUUUAGAGCAGGGAAAUGAUGCAAGCUCUGCUCAAGCUGAAUCCCAAAAUGAAAUGAAAGCUCAUCAUGAAAGUCCAUCUGUACAAUUUCUGUACAUGAAUUUAAUAACUUGGCUGAAAGAAGAUUGGAGGAAAGACACCCAUUUUCUGGUUGAUGUUUUGUACAGUGUGCUUAACUGUUGCAAUAGUAAUGAUGAAAGGAAAAUAAUUCUUGAUGAUUUAACAAAGAUGGAUCUGAAAUGGAUUAUUUUUCUCCAGAUAAUUCAAAAGGCAUGCUCAAGCACAACAAAACUUUCCUUAGUCUCUGACUGGCUGAAAGGAGAUACACUUGGAGAAAGACUUGUAAUGCUGGCAGAUGAUCUGUGUCACCUGAGUUUAAAACCUAUGGCAGCCUCGUCAGAAUCACCCUCUUCAGAAAGGUGGACACUCCUGAGCUUAGUGUUGUCACAACACAUUAAAAAUGAAUCUUUGAUUGGUGAAACUUUUGUUGAAAAGAUUAUUGAUAAACUUCAAGCAGCUCUGUCUAAAGCUAAGGAUCUUUCUGAAGCUGGAAAUACUGAACCAUCAGUAUCUUUCAUCUGUGAUGUAGCCUCAAGCUUUUUCAGCUCAGUUAAAGGGUGUUUGCUGAUGCCAUCCUCAGAAGAUUUGCUGCUUACCAUCUUCCAAUUGUGUGCUCAGAGGCAGGAUGCUAUGCACUUAACAGAUUUACUUGUAUGUAAAUUAAAACACACUUGGAUGUCUGGUGUAAGUUCACUUGUGCGUCAACUUCGGAGUAUGCAGAAACAGAGUACCUUUUUGCGUAAAUCUGCACUGUGGGUCAAGAAUCAAAUUCAGUCUUCCUCUUUGGACGUUAAAAGCCUUCAGGUUUUGAUCUCUGCAGUUAGUGAUUUGUUGUCUAAGCUUAUGGAAGCUGACGGACAGUCUGGAUAUCUUGUGGGAGCUUAUGUUGAGCAUGUCAUGCCAAACAAAACUGAGUGGGGGAAAUUGCGCGAGUGUCUAUCCACUGAGUGGAUGCACAAACCUCUUUUGGAAGGAAGGCUUAGUAUGAAUUGUGAACCUUUGCGAUCAUGUGUUAAGCUGUGUGGCACAACUAAACUUCCAGGCCAUUUGUGUACUUCAGCCUUAUUAAGUAAAACAGUGCUACUUGUAUUGGAAAAUGGUAUAGUCCAUGGUAAUGAUGAUGCUGAAAGAAAGAAAAUUGACAAUAUAAUUGCAGAACUGUUGUACUCAUUACAAUGGAUUGAAGAAUUGGAGAAUCCUCCUUAUCUGCUUCUGGAAUAUCAUCAUAUGUUGGAAGAAAUGCACAUCACAUAUGAGAAGUUCAGUACACUUAGUAAUACAACUAGCCUUCAGCAAACAAUAUUUGAUAGAUCAGAGGAACAUGGAAGACUCUGGUCCUUAACCAUGGCUAAAGUGAUUCGUGUGGAAAAUACUGUAUCCUGUGAGAAGAAACAACUUUUUAAGACAACAGACGGGUUUCUGCCAUUAACAGAGGGCAGAUUGCAUACACUUCAGUGUCUAUCACCUUUUUUAAUUGAGGAAGAAAAGAAAGAACUUGUCUUCCACUGUGUGGCCAAACUUAUGACAUGCACACAGACAGAGCUUUCCAGCACUGAUGGAGCGUUUGGUUGUCUUUCCAUUUUGAACUCAUGCUUGAAUGAUAGAAGUAUUGAUUGUGGUCAUCUACUACCUGGAAUACUAAAAAUCAUAAUGUCUUGGAAAAAUGAUAAUGAGGACAGCUUUCUCUUUAGCUGCAAUCUGAAAGAAACAAGUGCUCAGUUGCUUGGUUUCAACAUAGAGAUGAUCCGUUACCUUCCCUUGCUGUUGAAGUAUUCCACAACUCCUUUGGCCGAUAAUGAAUGGGACUUUAUCAUGUGCUCCAUGCUGGCUUGGUUAGAGACAACAAGUGAAAACUGUUCGCUUUAUCAUGUCCCGCUUGUGCAGAUUUUUGCUUGUGUCAGUUGUGACUUGGCAUCUGCCCUUAGUGCUUACUUUGAAGCUGCAGCUCCUGAAACUACUGAAAACCUUCCUGUGAACUUGAUCAGUGAAUGGAAAGAAUUCUUUUCUGAGGGAAUUCACAAUUUGCUAUUACCGCUGUUGGUGAAAGUCACAGGAGAAACCAAAAAUGCUUCUGAAGGCCCUUUUCAGAACUCUGUGUUAACGUCUUUGGGCGAAGCUCUAACUUACAUCUCAAAGGACCAGUUGUUGAACCAUAAAUUGCCAGCAAAGUUUAUUGCAGGCCAGAAAACAAAUCUUCCAGAUAAACUCCAGACUCUACUAAAUACAUUAUCUCCAUUGUUGCUUUUCCAGGCUAGACCCGUACAGAUUUCUGUCUACCACAUGUUGUAUAAAUUAAUGCCUGAAUUGCCUAAAUUUGAUGAUGAAGAUCUCAAAUCUUAUGGGGAUGAAGAAGAGGAAUUAGCAUUAUCACCUCCAGCAGCUCUUAUGUCUGUCCUGGCCACGCAAGAACUCUUGCUAGAAAACAUACUGGAAUGCAUUCCAGUUGGAGAAUUUGCAGUUAUUCAGCCCCUGAGCGAUGAGUUCUGCCUUGUCCUAGGAUAUCUUCUCACUUGGAAGUUAACAUUAGCUUUCUUCAAAGCAGCUUCUUCUCAGCUGCGAGUUCUCUACUCACAAUACCUUAGAAGAACUAAAAGCCUGAAUAAACUGCUUUAUCACUUGUUCAGGCUUAUGCCUGAAAACCCUGUCUCUUCUGGGCGAACUUCGGAAGUUCCAUAUAUAGACACAAAAACCUUCUUUACGGAAGAGCUUCAUCUAGAUGUCAAAGGGACAGGAGUCCUGUCAUCUCAGAUUCCGCACUUGGCCUGCUCUGUCUACCACAUAACACUGAAAGACUUGCCAGCCAUGGUCAGGCUUUGGUGGAAUAGCUGUGAGAAACGUGUCUUCAAUGUUGUAGAUAAAUUUACAAGCAAAUAUGUCAGCAGCGUGCUUUCUUCACAGGAAAUAACUUCUGUUCAGAAUAGCACACAGUUACUUAGUGGCAUGAUGGUAAAAGCUCGGUCUGCAGCACGGGAAGUCAUUGCUACCUAUUCAGUUGAAGAUAUAUUUAUUGAACUAAUAAUACAGCUUCCAUCAAAUUACCCACUGGGAUCCAUAACAGUUGAGAGUGGAAAGAGGGUUGGUGUGGCUGUACAGCAAUGGCGCAAUUGGAUGCUACAGUUAAGCACAUAUCUUACACAUCAGAAUGGAAGUAUUAUGGAUGGCUUAUCUUUGUGGAAAAAUAAUGUGGAUAAACGUUUUGAGGGCAUUGAAGAUUGCAUGAUCUGUUUUUCAGUCAUUCAUGGUUCCAACUAUUCUCUUCCUAAAAAAGCUUGCAGAACAUGCAAGAAAAAGUUUCAUUCAGCUUGCUUGUACAAAUGGUUCACAUCCAGCAACAAGUCCACCUGUCCACUCUGUCGAGAGACAUUUUUCUGAAAUAAAACGGUCUUUCUUCUUUCUGUGAGUGAAGAUAUAAAUGAAGAGGAGACAAACUGUAUGUUGAAAGAAGCUAACUACUUGGAAAUAAUGUUGGUUACUUUAAAUGCUUGACUAGUGGGAUAUGACACAUAUUUACCUCUGGACUGUUUUUUGUAACACUGGGCUUCCAGAGGAUAAAUUUCUUGACAUUUUUUGAGAAAGAGAGAAUGGAAAUGAUUUAAAACUGGUAUUGAAAAGGCCUAGCUGAAAACACAGAUUAAGGAGCAAGCUGUAUUGUUUCCUAGCUACUGAUACUAAAACUCCAGGAUUGUUUCCGUUGCAUCACUUUUAUUAUUCUAAAUUACUUCUUUGCAAGUUCAAUAACUGAUUUGAAGGCCAGUUGUGGUUAACCAGGUAUUGCUUGAAAAGAACCAUCUUAAACUCUUCUAGCAGACCUUAACUUGCAAAUUGUCUAUUAUGAACAGCCAUGUGGAGAGCUUUUGUUUUGGUUCUGCUAGAACAAAGUGCAGGCACUUGCAAAGCAGCAGUAAGUCUUUCGACACUGGUACUUGCUGAUAGAGUAGUGCCUAGGGGUCUGGGUGAGCAGAAUUUUUGCUUUCUUCCUGGUAAGUUUGACACUACAUAGAAAGUCUGUACCUGCCAUGCAGCUUAUUCUCAUGCAUAUUGAAUGCAGGAGUAUGCUUCCCAAAACUCUCCAGAAAGCAUUGCUUUCUUUGGUCUUGUAGGAGAAGGGAAUAGGUGUGCCCUGGCAAACGCUAAGUGUAUGUAUGUGCAGGAUGAUGGGAGCAUAAUAGGAAUAGCUUCUUACAGAACUCACCUGUGUUCUUAGUUGGAUUGCAUUUUGACAAGUGCUUCCACUAAAGUUGCAGCAGACAGCUGAAGCCAGGAGAAUUGACUCAUGAUUUAUUAAAGUGGACGCAUAUAAUUUCCUUGUCUAAAUAUGCAGUUGUUAGGUAGUCUAGUGCAAUCGUUCUUUGUUGAAAGCAUGUUGGUUUAUUAUACUUUUUGUUCUGAUUUUCAUUAUUCUGUCCUUUAUAAUUUAAAACUGCAUACACUGUUGAGCAUUGUGAUCUACUGUGACAGAUGACUGCCUUUUAUCUCUGAUUACCUCUUUUAAAAAUAAUUCUUUAGUUAUAACUAAAAGCUACACAGAUUUAAUUAAAACUUCCUUUUGAUAAACGUGUAGUUUGAUUCUAUUACAUGUUUUAACUAAAUCUUAAAAUCUUCUUUCAUGUAACUGCUUUUGCUCAGCAAGCUAACUUUGUUAGCCAAAAUGGUUAACAACAUAAAACUUCUAGAGUGGUCUAAGGAUGACAGCAUUUCGAUUCAUUCAAACAGCCCUGCAGCUAUGAUUAUAACCUCAAAACCUAUGAUUCUACAUAAAAGCAAAAUUGCUAAGCAUAAAACCUCUUCUCCUUACAGUUUUGUACGGGAAAAGUAACAACAACAAAAAAAAGUGUGGCUUAGCAAAAGGUCUGCCAUCAAGUCAAAAAGGGUCUAGAAGUAGGAAGCAGUCAAAUUGAAAUAUGACUUCUCAGAAUUGACUAGUUGGUAAACUGAGAACAAAACUUUGCUUAAACUCUUCAGUGGAAAACUGUGGGAACACGUUAUUUCACAGCCACAAGGUUUCCUCUCAGUUUCUCGACUUCGACAUUCCUUAGACAAGUUAUGCAGAAGGUAAGAAUCAACAAAGUCCUGAGUCUAGCCUCAAUUUAGUCAAUGAAAUGCAUUUUUUUAGCCUCAGUAGUUUCAAGUACUAGAAUUUCUUGUAUAUAGUAAAAAUGUCAAGUAACAUCCUUAACAUGACUGCUUCUUCCCUUUAAACCUUCCUACUGUGCAUUUGUGUUCACAUUCAUGUUUAUCUA
Molecule: RNA transcript, 7259 nt
Organism: Harpia harpyja (harpy eagle)
Lineage: Eukaryota; Metazoa; Chordata; Aves; Accipitriformes; Accipitridae
Gene: LTN1
Gene name: listerin E3 ubiquitin protein ligase 1
Exons: 31
Source: RefSeq, a predicted model, not a curated record